This 2395-nucleotide ribosomal RNA is filed under the name Escherichia coli. Its description in RNAcentral is "partial 23S ribosomal RNA". It matches the Rfam family "Bacterial large subunit ribosomal RNA", at positions 418 to 2798 of the family's 2925-position model. Lineage: Bacteria; Pseudomonadati; Pseudomonadota; Gammaproteobacteria; Enterobacterales; Enterobacteriaceae. The record is from RNAcentral.
CGGGACACGUGGUAUCCUGUCUGAAUAUGGGGGGACCAUCCUCCAAGGCUAAAUACUCCUGACUGACCGAUAGUGAACCAGUACCGUGAGGGAAAGGCGAAAAGAACCCCGGCGAGGGGAGUGAAAAAGAACCUGAAACCGUGUACGUACAAGCAGUGGGAGCACGCUUAGGCGUGUGACUGCGUACCUUUUGUAUAAUGGGUCAGCGACUUAUAUUCUGUAGCAAGGUUAACCGAAUAGGGGAGCCGAAGGGAAACCGAGUCUUAACUGGGCGUUAAGUUGCAGGGUAUAGACCCGAAACCCGGUGAUCUAGCCAUGGGCAGGUUGAAGGUUGGGUAACACUAACUGGAGGACCGAACCGACUAAUGUUGAAAAAUUAGCGGAUGACUUGUGGCUGGGGGUGAAAGGCCAAUCAAACCGGGAGAUAGCUGGUUCUCCCCGAAAGCUAUUUAGGUAGCGCCUCGUGAAUUCAUCUCCGGGGGUAGAGCACUGUUUCGGCAAGGGGGUCAUCCCGACUUACCAACCCGAUGCAAACUGCGAAUACCGGAGAAUGUUAUCACGGGAGACACACGGCGGGUGCUAACGUCCGUCGUGAAGAGGGAAACAACCCAGACCGCCAGCUAAGGUCCCAAAGUCAUGGUUAAGUGGGAAACGAUGUGGGAAGGCCCAGACAGCCAGGAUGUUGGCUUAGAAGCAGCCAUCAUUUAAAGAAAGCGUAAUAGCUCACUGGUCGAGUCGGCCUGCGCGGAAGAUGUAACGGGGCUAAACCAUGCACCGAAGCUGCGGCAGCGACGCUUAUGCGUUGUUGGGUAGGGGAGCGUUCUGUAAGCCUGUGAAGGUGUGCUGUGAGGCAUGCUGGAGGUAUCAGAAGUGCGAAUGCUGACAUAAGUAACGAUAAAGCGGGUGAAAAGCCCGCUCGCCGGAAGACCAAGGGUUCCUGUCCAACGUUAAUCGGGGCAGGGUGAGUCGACCCCUAAGGCGAGGCCGAAAGGCGUAGUCGAUGGGAAACAGGUUAAUAUUCCUGUACUUGGUGUUACUGCGAAGGGGGGACGGAGAAGGCUAUGUUGGCCGGGCGACGGUUGUCCCGGUUUAAGCGUGUAGGCUGGUUUUCCAGGCAAAUCCGGAAAAUCAAGGCUGAGGCGUGAUGACGAGGCACUACGGUGCUGAAGCAACAAAUGCCCUGCUUCCAGGAAAAGCCUCUAAGCAUCAGGUAACAUCAAAUCGUACCCCAAACCGACACAGGUGGUCAGGUAGAGAAUACCAAGGCGCUUGAGAGAACUCGGGUGAAGGAACUAGGCAAAAUGGUGCCGUAACUUCGGGAGAAGGCACGCUGAUAUGUAGGUGAAGUCCCUCGCGGAUGGAGCUGAAAUCAGUCGAAGAUACCAGCUGGCUGCAACUGUUUAUUAAAAACACAGCACUGUGCAAACACGAAAGUGGACGUAUACGGUGUGACGCCUGCCCGGUGCCGGAAGGUUAAUUGAUGGGGUCAGCGCAAGCGAAGCUCUUGAUCGAAGCCCCGGUAAACGGCGGCCGUAACUAUAACGGUCCUAAGGUAGCGAAAUUCCUUGUCGGGUAAGUUCCGACCUGCACGAAUGGCGUAAUGAUGGCCAGGCUGUCUCCACCCGAGACUCAGUGAAAUUGAACUCGCUGUGAAGAUGCAGUGUACCCGCGGCAAGACGGAAAGACCCCGUGAACCUUUACUAUAGCUUGACACUGAACAUUGAGCCUUGAUGUGUAGGAUAGGUGGGAGGCUUAGAAGUGUGGACGCCAGUCUGCAUGGAGCCGACCUUGAAAUACCACCCUUUAAUGUUUGAUGUUCUAACGUUGACCCGUAAUCCGGGUUGCGGACAGUGUCUGGUGGGUAGUUUGACUGGGGCGGUCUCCUCCUAAAGAGUAACGGAGGAGCACGAAGGUUGGCUAAUCCUGGUCGGACAUCAGGAGGUUAGUGCAAUGGCAUAAGCCAGCUUGACUGCGAGCGUGACGGCGCGAGCAGGUGCGAAAGCAGGUCAUAGUGAUCCGGUGGUUCUGAAUGGAAGGGCCAUCGCUCAACGGAUAAAAGGUACUCCGGGGAUAACAGGCUGAUACCGCCCAAGAGUUCAUAUCGACGGCGGUGUUUGGCACCUCGAUGUCGGCUCAUCACAUCCUGGGGCUGAAGUAGGUCCCAAGGGUAUGGCUGUUCGCCAUUUAAAGUGGUACGCGAGCUGGGUUUAGAACGUCGUGAGACAGUUCGGUCCCUAUCUGCCGUGGGCGCUGGAGAACUGAGGGGGGCUGCUCCUAGUACGAGAGGACCGGAGUGGACGCAUCACUGGUGUUCGGGUUGUCAUGCCAAUGGCACUGCCCGGUAGCUAAAUGCGGAAGAGAUAAGUGCUGAAAGCAUCUAAGCACGAAACUUGCC